RNAcentral lists this ribosomal RNA (519 nucleotides) under uncultured bacterium. Its description in RNAcentral is "bacterial SSU rRNA". It matches the Rfam family "Archaeal small subunit ribosomal RNA", at positions 725 to 1231 of the family's 1478-position model. The record is from RNAcentral.
AGGAAAUAGAUACCCUGGUAGUCCCAGCUGUAAACGAUGCAGACUCGGUGAUGGACUAGCUUAAAUGCUAGUCCAGUGCCGCAGGGAAGCCGUUAAGUCUGCCGCCUGGGUAGUACGGUCGCAAGACUGAAAACUUAAAGGAAUUGGCGGGGGAGCACCACAAGGGGUGAAAGCCUGCGGUUCAAUUGGAGUCAACGCCGGGAAUCUUACCGGGGGUCGGACAGCAGAGUGAAGGUCAAGCUGAAGACUUUACUAGACAAGCUGAGAGGAGGUGCAUGGCCGUCGCCAGCUCGUGCCGUGAGGUGUCCUGUUAAGUCAGGUAACGAGCGAGACCCCUGCUUCUAGUUGCUACUUUUAUUCUUCGGAGUAGAGGGGCUAAUUAGAAGGACUGCCGCCGCUAAGGCGGAGGAAGGAGGGGGUCUACGGCAGGUCAGUAUGCCCCGGAAACCCGUCGGGCCGACACGCGGGCUGCAAUGGUAAGUACAAUAGGUUCCGAUUCCGAAAGGAGGAGGCAAUCCC